This 477-nucleotide long non-coding RNA is filed under the name Homo sapiens (human). RNAcentral's name for it is "HSALNT0298279". Lineage: Eukaryota; Metazoa; Chordata; Mammalia; Primates; Hominidae. The record is from RNAcentral.
UUAAGCUUAUAUUAAAUAAAUUUGUCACACUUUUAUCUUGUUAAUCUAUAUUUUGUUGUAGGAGUCUCAGCCAUGAACCUAAUGGUGGGCUUGAAAAGUGGAGUACGGCUUCUGCAUUUCUAUACAACAUUAAGUUUCAAAGGACAGAUGAAAGCAGAAGAGCCAUAGAAGAAGGCUCUAGGUGCUCAGUUACUGCUACAUCUUUACCAUCCUGCACGCCUCUUUUACUUAUGGCUAGAUUCCCGCUAACAAAUGUUGGAUAAGAAACACUGUCUGAAUCACAAGAACAGAGAGGUUAGGAGAAAUAGUUUUGCUCACUCCUUCCAUGUGGUGAAACAUCUACUAAUGCAAUACUCCAGUCCUCUCUCUAUCCUUACUCACAUGAAAAUGCAAUGGUUCGAUUUGUAAAGGUAAAUAAACAGAUGUGUUAUUUUGCAUGUAUCUACAUUAUACUUGAUAUUUGAAAUCUGCCGUCAA